This 469-nucleotide ribosomal RNA is filed under the name Escherichia coli. RNAcentral's name for it is "partial 23S ribosomal RNA". It matches the Rfam family "Bacterial large subunit ribosomal RNA", at positions 2334 to 2802 of the family's 2925-position model. The record is from RNAcentral. RNAcentral also lists the same sequence under 16 other names. Lineage: Bacteria; Pseudomonadati; Pseudomonadota; Gammaproteobacteria; Enterobacterales; Enterobacteriaceae.
GACAUCAGGAGGUUAGUGCAAUGGCAUAAGCCAGCUUGACUGCGAGCGUGACGGCGCGAGCAGGUGCGAAAGCAGGUCAUAGUGAUCCGGUGGUUCUGAAUGGAAGGGCCAUCGCUCAACGGAUAAAAGGUACUCCGGGGAUAACAGGCUGAUACCGCCCAAGAGUUCAUAUCGACGGCGGUGUUUGGCACCUCGAUGUCGGCUCAUCACAUCCUGGGGCUGAAGUAGGUCCCAAGGGUAUGGCUGUUCGCCAUUUAAAGUGGUACGCGAGCUGGGUUUAGAACGUCGUGAGACAGUUCGGUCCCUAUCUGCCGUGGGCGCUGGAGAACUGAGGGGGGCUGCUCCUAGUACGAGAGGACCGGAGUGGACGCAUCACUGGUGUUCGGGUUGUCAUGCCAAUGGCACUGCCCGGUAGCUAAAUGCGGAAGAGAUAAGUGCUGAAAGCAUCUAAGCACGAAACUUGCCCCGA